RNAcentral lists this ribosomal RNA (433 nucleotides) under uncultured bacterium. Its description in RNAcentral is "partial 16S ribosomal RNA". It matches the Rfam family "Bacterial small subunit ribosomal RNA", at positions 29 to 507 of the family's 1533-position model. The record is from RNAcentral.
AACGAACGCUGGCGGCAUGCCUAACACAUGCAAGUCGAACGAGACCUUCGGGCCUAGUGGCGCACGGGUGCGUAACGCGGGGGAACCUGCCCUUAGGUUCGGAAUAACUCCCCGAAAGGUGUGCUAAUACCGGUUAAUGUCUUCGGACCAAAGAUUUAUCGCCAUUGGAUGGGCGCGCGUUGGAUUAGCUGGUUGGUAGGGUAAAAGCCUGCCAAGGCGACGAUGCAUAGCUGGUCGGUUAGGAUGACCAGCCACACUGGGACUGAGACACGGCCCAGACUCGUACGGGAGGCAGCAGUAGGGAAUAUUAGACGCUGGGCGAAAGCCUGAUCAAGCCAUGCCGCGUGAGUGAUGAAGGCCUUAGGGUUGUAAAGCUCUUUUACCCGGGAUGAUAAUGACAGUACCGGGAGAAUAAGCACCGGCUAACUACGUG